CUUCUUGAUCUCCAAGAGCAGCUGAUCUGCGGACCUGAGAGACCGAUAGGGCAUGUAGGGGUGAAGAAGCUCAGAGAGGUAAGCCGGGGCAAGAUUAUGCAGUGAUUUAAAAACAAACAUAAGAAUUUUAAAAUUAAUCCUAAAAUAUACAGGCAGCCAGUGAAGUGAGGCCAGGACAGGGGUCACAUGUUCCCUCUUUCGAGUUCCUGUCCUAAGUGGUGCAGCAGCAUCUGAACCAGCUGCAGACGUGAGAGCAGCGACUGACUGACUCCUAGAUAUAGUGAGUUACAGUAAUCCAGUCGAGUCAAAAUAAAAGCGUGGAUCACUGUUUCAAAAUGCUGCUUGGAAAGAAAAGAUUUCACUGACGCCAAAUGAUAAAAGCUGGACUUAACCACGGCUCUGAUUUGGCUGUCCAAUUUAAAAUCACUGUCCACCUUAAAACCAAGACCUGUAAUAACAGGUUUAAAAUAAACCUCCAAAGGUCCCAGGUCCACAGAGGAGGACUCACAGGAGCCACUGGCUCCAAACACCAUCACCUCUGUUUUGUUUUCAUUAAAAUUUAAAAAGUUCAAGGCCAAACAAGCUUUAAUAUCACCUGGACAUGCCAGGAGAUAUUUGUACAUCCUUCUGCUUCGGGGGCAAAUAACUCUGACAAUCAUCAGCGUAACAAUGAAAUGAAAUCCCAUGUUUCCUGAGGACAGAACCCAGAGGCAGUAAAUACAAAGAGAAAAGCAGUGGGCCCAGAAUUGAGCCCUGUGGGACACCAUAAGGCAUUGAAGCAGCAGAUGAUUCAGAGUCACUAAUUUUGACUGAAAUUGUUCUCUCCUCCAGGUAAGACCUGAACCAUUUAAGAACAGUGCCACCAAUACCUACAACGUGGUGUAAUCGCGAUAUUAAAAUGUGGUGGUCUACUGUAUCAAAGGCAGCAGUUAGGUCAAGUAAAAUCAGAACAACAUGGUUACCAGAAUCACAUGCAAGAAGGAUGUCAUUAAAAACUCUUAUUAAAGCAGAUUCUGUGCUAUGAAGAGUUUUAAAACCUGACUG
Molecule: long non-coding RNA, 1044 nt
Organism: Poecilia latipinna (sailfin molly)
Lineage: Eukaryota; Metazoa; Chordata; Actinopteri; Cyprinodontiformes; Poeciliidae
Exons: 2
Source: RefSeq, a predicted model, not a curated record